This 848-nucleotide long non-coding RNA is filed under the name Homo sapiens (human). RNAcentral describes it as "long non-coding RNA NONHSAT005675". The record is from RNAcentral. Lineage: Eukaryota; Metazoa; Chordata; Mammalia; Primates; Hominidae.
GACCAGGACACUACAGAUUAGGUCCCACCGACAAGGCUGCCCUGACCAGGGCCCCACUGACAAGGGCCUCACUGAUGAGGACACGCCCACCAGAGUCUGCUGACUAAGUCCCAUGUGCCCACUCCUCCACUGAAUAGCACCCCUUGACCUGGUCACUAGUGCCCCAACCCAUGCUGACCAGGCCAGCACUAAGCCCCAGCUGACCAGGUCUCCACUGAUCAAGCCCCACAGCCCAGGUUUGCACUGACCAGACACCAAACAACUGGCAGCCAAUAGGUCCCCACUCACCAAAACCCCACUACUAGACCCCACUAAUGAGACCCUCUCUAAGCAGACCCCUGCUGACCACGAUCCCACUAAAUAGUCCUCACUGACCUAGUCCCAACUGACUAGGUCCACUGAGCAGGCCCACACUGAUCAGGCCCCUCCUAACCAUAUCAGAAGACCAAGAGGCAAUGAGAUGUUUCAUAUGGCAGGAGUAGGAGCAAGACAGAGAGGGGAAAGAGGUGUGACAUCCUGUUAGACAACCAGAUCACAUGAGAACUCACUAUCAGGAGAUCAGCAUCAAGAAGACUAACCAAUGGUGAAGGAUUCUCCAACCACACCACUGCCCACUGCUUCCAGGCAGAAGCCUCCUGCAGAGGCAGAACCUCUUAUGAAACUUCCACUAUGGCAGCGCAGAAAGAAAAUAUAGGCUUUGAGCCCCCACACAAGAGGCCACGAUCCUCCAGACUCCAGAUUAAUAAGCCCACCAACAGCUCACACUCUCAGUAUGGAAAAGCUACAGGCACUCAACACCAACCCAGCCCAUGAGAUCAGCCAUGGGGGCUACACCCUGCAAAGCCACA